CCGGUAAACGGCGGCCGUAACUAUAACGGUCCUAAGGUAGCGAAAUUCCUUGUCGGGUAAGUUCCGACCUGCACGAAUGGCGUAAUGAUGGCCAGGCUGUCUCCACCCGAGACUCAGUGAAAUUGAACUCGCUGUGAAGAUGCAGUGUACCCGCGGCAAGACGGAAAGACCCCGUGAACCUUUACUAUAGCUUGACACUGAACAUUGAGCCUUGAUGUGUAGGAUAGGUGGGAGGCUUUGAAGUGUGGACGCCAGUCUGCAUGGAGCCGACCUUGAAAUACCACCCUUUAAUGUUUGAUGUUCUAACGUUGACCCGUAAUCCGGGUUGCGGACAGUGUCUGGUGGGUAGUUUGACUGGGGCGGUCUCCUCCUAAAGAGUAACGGAGGAGCACGAAGGUUGGCUAAUCCUGGUCGGACAUCAGGAGGUUAGUGCAAUGGCAUAAGCCAGCUUGACUGCGAGCGUGACGGCGCGAGCAGGUGCGAAAGCAGGUCAUAGUGAUCCGGUGGUUCUGAAUGGAAGGGCCAUCGCUCAACGGAUAAAAGGUACUCCGGGGAUAACAGGCUGAUACCGCCCAAGAGUUCAUAUCGACGGCGGUGUUUGGCACCUCGAUGUCGGCUCAUCACAUCCUGGGGCUGAAGUAGGUCCCAAGGGUAUGGCUGUUCGCCAUUUAAAGUGGUACGCGAGCUGGGUUUAGAACGUCGUGAGACAGUUCGGUCCCUAUCUGCCGUGGGCGCUGGAGAACUGAGGGGGGCUGCUCCUAGUACGAGAGGACCGGAGUGGACGCAUCACUGGUGUU
This 797-nucleotide ribosomal RNA is filed under the name Escherichia coli. RNAcentral's name for it is "partial 23S ribosomal RNA". It matches the Rfam family "Bacterial large subunit ribosomal RNA", at positions 1920 to 2716 of the family's 2925-position model. The record is from RNAcentral. Lineage: Bacteria; Pseudomonadati; Pseudomonadota; Gammaproteobacteria; Enterobacterales; Enterobacteriaceae.